RNAcentral lists this ribosomal RNA (497 nucleotides) under uncultured bacterium. Its description in RNAcentral is "partial 16S ribosomal RNA". It matches the Rfam family "Bacterial small subunit ribosomal RNA", at positions 28 to 507 of the family's 1533-position model. The record is from RNAcentral.
GAUGAACGCUGGCGGCGUGCCUAAUACAUGCAAGUCGAGCGAACAGACGAGGAGCUUGCUCCUCUGACGUUAGCGGCGGACGGGUGAGUAACACGUGGAUAACCUACCUAUAAGACUGGGAUAACUUCGGGAAACCGGAGCUAAUACCGGAUAAUAUAUUGAACCGCAUGGUUCAAUAGUGAAAGACGGUUUUGCUGUCACUUAUAGAUGGAUCCGCGCCGCAUUAGCUAGUUGGUAAGGUAACGGCUUACCAAGGCAACGAUGCGUAGCCGACCUGAGAGGGUGAUCGGCCACACUGGAACUGAGACACGGUACAGACUCCUACGGGCGGCAGCAGUAGGGAAUCUUCCGCAAUGGGCGAAAGCCUGACGGAGCAACGCCGCGUGGGUGAUGAAGGUCUUCGGAUCGUAAAACUCUGUUAUUAGGGAAGAACAAAUGUGUAAGUAACUAUGCACGUCUUGACGGUACCUAAUCAGAAAGCCACGGCUAACUACGUG